Long non-coding RNA from Rhinopithecus roxellana (golden snub-nosed monkey), 294 nucleotides. RefSeq lists it as uncharacterized. The record is from RefSeq and is a predicted model, not a curated record. The transcript is spliced from 3 exons. NCBI's taxonomy places the organism in Eukaryota, Metazoa, Chordata, Mammalia, Primates, Cercopithecidae.
AGCUUCAAAGCAUAGAGCAAAACAAGUGCCAGGGCCUGAGGAGGCAGUGAACUUGGUGUAUUUCUGGAAGAGCAAGUAGACUCGUGUGGCUGAAGAGGAAUGAGGCAGAACUCCAAGUCUGCAGGCAUGGCAAUGAAUCAACUGGUUACUCAAGAUAUGACUGCCAAACUAUUAGAUACACUGGUUAUAGUCCUCCCGGUAAAAUAUUUCAAAAACACUUAACUAAGAGGUCAAUUGUUAUGGCUGUGCAAAUCCAAAGCUUUGGAAAGUGGAGACAUAUUCUGAAGACGGAAG